UCCGUAGGUGAACCUGCGGAAGGAUCAUUAUUGAAAACAAGGGUGUUCAAUUUAACUUGAAACCCAAACUUCUCAAUUCUAACUUUGUGCAUCUGUAUUAAUGGCGAGAGAACUUCGGUUCUUGAGCCUUCACUUUAUAAACACUAGUCUAUGAAUGUAAAUUUUUUAUAACAAAUAAAAACUUUCAACAACGGAUCUCUUGGCUCUCGCAUCGAUGAAGAACGCAGCGAAAUGCGAUACGUAAUGUGAAUUGCAGAAUUCAGUGAAUCAUCGAAUCUUUGAACGCAUCUUGCGCUCUCUGGUAUUCCGGAGAGCAUGUCUGUUUGAGUGUCAUGAAUUCUUCAACCCAAUCUUUUCUUGUAAUCGAUUGGUGUUUGGAUUCUGAGCGUUGCUGGCUUUAUUGCUUAGCUCGUUCGUAAUACAUUAGCAUCCCUAAUACAAGUUUGGAUUGACUUGGCGUAAUAGACUAUUCGCUAAGGAUUCGGUGGAAACAUCGAGCCAACUUUACUAAGGAAGCUCCUAAUUUUAAAAGUCUACCUUUUGAUUAGAUCUCAAAUCAGGCAGGAUUACCCGCUGAACUUAAGCAUAUCAAUAAGCGGAGGAAAAG
This 607-nucleotide ribosomal RNA is filed under the name Sporobolomyces salmoneus. Its description in RNAcentral is "eukaryotic LSU rRNA". The stretch from base 180 to 333 matches the Rfam family "5.8S ribosomal RNA". The record is from RNAcentral. Lineage: Eukaryota; Fungi; Basidiomycota; Microbotryomycetes; Sporidiobolales; Sporidiobolaceae.